Long non-coding RNA from Herpailurus yagouaroundi (jaguarundi), 2441 nucleotides. RefSeq lists it as uncharacterized. The transcript is spliced from 2 exons. The record is from RefSeq and is a predicted model, not a curated record. Lineage: Eukaryota; Metazoa; Chordata; Mammalia; Carnivora; Felidae.
AAUUUUGUAUUAAUUCUUUAAAUGUUUGAUAGAAUUCACCUGGAAAUCUAUCUGAGCUUUUCUUUGUGGUUAGUUUUUUGACUAUUGGUUCAACCCCUGUACUUGGUAUAGAUCUAUUCACACUUUCUCUUUCUUCAUGAGUCAGUUUGGUAAUUUUUAUCUUUUUCAGGAAUUUGUCCAUUUUAUCUAGAUUAAAUUUGUUGGCAUAGAGUCUGUUCAUAGCAUUUCUUAAUCCUUUUAUUUCUCUAAGAUCUGUAGUAAUGCCUCCUCUUUCAUUUCAAUUUUAGCAAUUUGAGUCUUCUCUUUUUUCUUGGCCAUCCUUAAAAAUGGUUAAAAUGGCAAGUUUCAGGUUUCACCAACAAUAAAAAAGUAACUGCAAGUAAAAGUAAUUUAGAUCCAUCUAUGCUGUUAGUUUUUUCUGCGCCCUGUACGGUAUUUUAUUCAUGUAUCACAGUUUAUUCGUUCACUCUGGAUGGCCAUCUGGAUUGGCCAGUUUUGGGGCUAUUAAUGAAGAGUUCUACUGGAAACUGCUUUGGUUUUUAAAUUCCCCAGAGUUUCUUUGACUCCAAUGCAUCUAUCAUAAGUCAAUUUUUCUUUAAAAAUUCCUUUACGAACAUUUUUUUAGUUACUUUUUGGUAACCUUGAACUCUACUAGUUUGUGGAGGGUGGUCAUGGAUGUUCCAAGUUACAGUUCUUUGUGAUUUAGGAUUGCCCCUGGUGCCAAGUAUUAAAAAUCUCAGAACAUAAAUCACAAAACUUAUAUUAGGCCAGUGCUAUUAUUAUUUGAAAUCGUUUUAAAAUUAUAAAAAUAACAUGUGUUCAUGAUUUAAUAAAUUGAAACAGUGCAGAAUGGUAUGCCAUAGAAAGUAAAAGUCUUUCUCCUAAUUUAUAGAAGUUUUUAAGAUUUACUUUUAAAUUUUAGAGCAUAUUUUAGACUUCCCACUAAAAUUGAAUAUUGAUUUGAAAGGAUUUUUAAUAUCAGAAUAUAUUUCUAUUCAUAGUUUUAAAAUUUUCAUGAGAAAUUAAUGUUGAAAUAUGGUAAUUACAUAUAUCAAGAGGGUUGUGAGUUUUGUCUUAGAUAGGCUUAGUUUUUAUUGUUUAUAUUAAUCUAUAUAACGCUAGUGAAUCAUUCAUGCAUUCCCAGGAUGGAGUAAAGUACACUUAGCCAUGGCGUUGUUUUUUUUUUCCCAUAACUGCACAGCCGAACCUGUCGUGCUCAUGUUUUAUUAGUUUUAAAUUUAUAUUCCCAACUGUAAGGGGGGGAAUCUGUAGUUAGUGGACUCGUGUAUAAAAUAACUUAAUUGCUUUCAUUUUCUUUUGUCUGUGACCUCAUUUUUAAAUGAAUUUUCACUAAAGAGUUAAUUAGGGGAAUUACCAGUUUUAUGUUGUCAAAGCUUAUGGCAUUUAUGUCCUGUUCUGUGACUAUAAUGAAGCCUUCCUUGUUUUGUCUAAGUUGGUUCUAAGAAUUGGAAGCUAAUAAAUGGCAUUUACAGUACAGGCAUACCUUAUUUUAUUGCACUUCACUUUAUUACGCUUCACAGAUACUGCAUUUUUUACAAAUUGAAGGUUCGUGGCAGCCCUGUGUCAAAACUAGUCCGUCAGCACCAUUUUGUUACAGCAAUUUGCUCACUUCAUGCCUCUGUCACAUUUUGCUAAUUCCUGCAGUAUUUCAAACUUUUUCAUGAUUAUUGUAUUUGAGUUACUGCAGUUGCAUGGUAAAACUUUAAUGGAUGAGGAGUUGCUUCUGAUGGGUGAGCAAAGAACGUGGAACGUGGACUCUUGAGAUGGAAUCUGUUGCUGGUGGAGAUGCCACGAAGAUUGUUGACAUGACAACAGAGGACGUAGCCGAUCACAUAAACUUAGCUUGAUGACGCGGCUGCAGGGUUUGAGAGGCCGGGCUCCCAUUUUCAAAGAAGUUCUCCUGUGGGCCAAAUGCUAUCAGAGACCAUCGCAGGCUACAGAGAAGUUGUUCGUGACCGAGAGUCCAUCCCUGUGGCAGACUUCAUUGUUGUCUUGUUUUCAGAAGUCCCCACGGCCUCCCCAGCCUCCACCCAUCGCCUGCCAGGUCAGCAGCCAGUACCAUCGAGGCAGGCCCUCCACCAGCAAAAAGUUGACUGACUGAGAGCUCAGAUGACGAACGAUACUGGCUACCAGUGACUGUUCGUGCCGCAGAAGAUGUACUGACCAUGAAAGCAGGAGCAGCUGUUACCUUACCGUGCGGAAGGAAAGCCAGACUUCUCUGAUUUGCAGCAGUGGCACACACAGAAAAUCUGAUAAUAUACUCCGCCUGGAGGAUUCUGUUAAGAACACUAAGAAAAAUAAGGGGAGUUCUCUUUUCCUCUCAUUUUAAAAUUGGAAAAUUUGUUCUGAGAAAUAUGAAUAAUCAUAUAUGUGAGAAAUAAAGACAAAAAGAGAAUAAAAAUACCAGCCAUUUAUAUGAA